GUCAAGUCAUCAUGCCCCUUAUGUCCAGGGCUUCACACAUGCUACAAUGGCUGGUACAGAGGGCUGCGAUAUCGUGAGGUGGAGCGAAUCCCUUAAAGCCAGUCUCAGUUCGGAUUGGGGUCUGCAACUCGACCCCAUGAAGUCGGAGUCGCUAGUAAUCGCAGAUCAGCAACGCUGCGGUGAAUACGUUCCCGGGCCUU
Molecule: ribosomal RNA, 200 nt
Filed under: uncultured organism
Description: partial small subunit ribosomal RNA
Rfam family: Bacterial small subunit ribosomal RNA
Source: RNAcentral